UUUUUUUUGUUAAUCUCAAUAUUCAACAUCAGAUGUUGCUAUACUGCUAUACGAAAAGUGCUCUAACUUAAAGGAGUGCAACUACAAAAAUAGGAUUUAUGGUGAUCCCUGAUGUUGAGGGAAUUUUCUCAAUUUUAAUACCACAUGUAUAUACAUAUUUAUUUAUACAAAUAUAUAACAUUCAGUGUCCCUAAUUAACUGUGCAAGGAAUACAAUGUAUUUAAGGUCAUGGCUGUGCUAUCAUAAACAGUUGAAGUACAAUUAUGAUACAAAGAAUUCAACAAACAAGUUUUAUACUCUGAGCACUGAGUUAUAUGACUAAAUGCCUAGGUCUGUAAUCAGAUUUUGAAUUUUAUGUAGAGUGCAUUUAAAAAUUGCAUUGAAAAUUAUUGUCUGCAUAAGAUUUCACUUUUUAUCAAUUUGUGUGCAUGCUAAGACUAACAGAAUAUCACCUGACCACAGAUGCAAAUGAUAGGGUGUGUUGCAUCUAGUGUCAAGCCCCCCUUAUAAAUGCUAGAAAAAUAAUAUAGAUAUUUAUUGACCUAAAACACUUUAAAUUAUUUUUAUUGAAAUUGCUCCCCCUGUAACUUUAAAUAAAUUUUGGGUUUGUAGCUGGUUGUCGUUACUUAAUUGAUAAAUGAUCUUGAUAAGAUUGAUCUCAACAAAAAUCGGUCUGGGUUGGUUGCACAAAGAUUGAAUAAAUGUUAAAUUCAUUUAAAUUUGUAGUCUUAAUUAUUACAACUUAUCAAUAAAUGUUUUUCUUCUUCAAUUUUGGGAAAAUUUAUAUAAUAGUGAUAAAACUUUAAAGUUACUAUGAUUAGUGAAAUACAAUUUUGUUUUAAAAAUUGCAUUAACAUUAAUUAAAUAUUUAAGGAUGUACUUAGGUGAGGUUUUUUAAAAUUUGUGUCAGAUAUUUGGACUGCUUGUUUUUACCCCCUAUAAUACAGAGUAAAAUAUUUUGCCCAAAAACACCCAUUUUUCUUUGCAUAUAAGACUUCAAUAGCUCAUAUAUAAUUAAAGGUCAUUAACCAAAUUUUUUAGCAGAUUCUAGAUUUCUUUCUUUCAAUUUGAUACCAAAAUGAUACAUUAUGCAAAUAUAAGGCAAAAGGCAUAGUCGUGAUCAUGAUAGUCAGAAUUUACUGCUAUUAAAAAAAAAUUCUCCCAUUCAAAUGCAUUGAUCGUCCAAAAAAAGGGGGGUUCCAACUAUAUGCUCCCAUUCAAAUGCAUUGAUCGUCCAAAAAAAGGGGGUUCCAACCCCUGGAAACCUCCCCCCCCCUGGAUCCGCCACUGCUUAAGCUAAUAGUAUCAAUUUUAAAUUUAUUUUCUUUUAAUUUCACCUAAAUUCAUCAUUAGGCUACAAAUAAGUUUAUUUAUCUGUCAACAUGUAUCAAUUAAAAGGAUAGACAUAGGCUAUAUGUAGUCACAAUUGAAAUUAAGGGUCUGGUUGAGGUUUACAAAAUAGAGAAUAACGGAACAAAUUAUAUAAAACAGGAAAAAGAGGUGCUAAAAUAUGAAGAAAAGAGAAAAAAACCUGGAAAAUUAAAAAUACACAAAAAAUGAAGACCCCCUCAUCCUGACCUUUAUUAAAUGACUUUGUAUUUUAUUAAAAAAAACUUUCAUGUUGUAGUUAUGUAGUUAUUGUUGCUACUGUUGUUUUUGUUUAGAGCUUGAGAUAAUAAAUAUUACACAA
RNAcentral lists this long non-coding RNA (1690 nucleotides) under Mytilus galloprovincialis (Mediterranean mussel). Lineage: Eukaryota; Metazoa; Mollusca; Bivalvia; Mytilida; Mytilidae. The record is from RNAcentral.